UACGUAGGUGGCGAGCGUUGUCCGGAUUUAUUGGGCGUAAAGCGCCCGCAGGCGGCCUGACAAGUUUCAGGUGAAAUCUCCCGGCUUAACUGGGAGGGGUCCUGGGAAACUGUCAGGCUUGAGGCAGGGAGAGGGAUGUGGAAUUCCCGGUGUAGUGGUGAAAUGCGUAGAUAUCGGGAGGAACACCAGUGGCGAAGGCGGCAUCCUGGCCCUGUCCUGACGCUCAGGGGCGAAAGCGUAGGGAGCAAACCGG
RNAcentral lists this ribosomal RNA (253 nucleotides) under uncultured bacterium. RNAcentral describes it as "partial 16S ribosomal RNA". It matches the Rfam family "Bacterial small subunit ribosomal RNA", at positions 524 to 776 of the family's 1533-position model. The record is from RNAcentral.